Molecule: non-coding RNA, 30 nt
Filed under: Mus musculus (house mouse)
Lineage: Eukaryota; Metazoa; Chordata; Mammalia; Rodentia; Muridae
Source: RNAcentral
UGGUAAAAUGCUAGAGUGAUCUCAACUAAA